AAACCCAGUUUUUGAUUCUUUCGAGCAAUGGCAAUACAUCCACCUCGAAAUCCCAAAACCCACCUCACUAUCAACAUUAGAGACAGACAGACUCAGCAAAUAGGCUUCCACGUUUCUAUACAUGCAGCAGAACAAGCCAUAGCCAGAACAGAACAGAGACUAUUUCUUCCUCUCAGUGAUAUCCCCAGGGCACAAUCAGCACCUCUCACUUUGCCACACCAGCACACUGGCCAAUCCACUGUUGCAC
This 247-nucleotide unclassified non-coding RNA is filed under the name Hevea brasiliensis (rubber tree). Lineage: Eukaryota; Viridiplantae; Streptophyta; Magnoliopsida; Malpighiales; Euphorbiaceae. The record is from RNAcentral.